This 433-nucleotide ribosomal RNA is filed under the name uncultured bacterium. Its description in RNAcentral is "bacterial SSU rRNA". It matches the Rfam family "Bacterial small subunit ribosomal RNA", at positions 355 to 786 of the family's 1533-position model. The record is from RNAcentral.
UGAGGAAUAUUGGUCAAUGGGCGUAAGCCUGAACCAGCCAAGCCGCGUGGAGGAAGAAGGCGCAGAGCGUCGCAGACUCCUUUUGUCGGGGGACAAACGGCCGCACGCGUGCGGCUCUGAGGGUACCCGAAGAAAAAGCAUCGGCUAACUCCGUGCCAGCAGCCGCGGUAAUACGGAGGAUGCGAGCGUUAUCCGGAUUCAUUGGGUUUAAAGGGUGCGUAGGCGGCGUCUUAAGCCGGCGGUGAAAUCGCGGGGCUCAACCCCGCCGAGCCGUCGGAACUGGGAUGCUCGAGUGUCGGCGAGGCAUGCGGAAUGCGCGGUGUAGCGGUGAAAUGCAUAGAUAUCGCGCAGAACCCCGAUUGCGAAGGCAGCGUGCCAGCCGCCCACUGACGCUGAGGCACGAAAGCGCGGGUAUCGAACAGGAUUAGAUACC